RNAcentral lists this ribosomal RNA (407 nucleotides) under bacterium enrichment culture clone ALO1_GLFRUDD03FXPGM. RNAcentral's name for it is "bacterial SSU rRNA". It matches the Rfam family "Bacterial small subunit ribosomal RNA", at positions 9 to 416 of the family's 1533-position model. The record is from RNAcentral.
GAGUUUGAUCCUGGCUCAGAUUGAACGCUGGCGGCAUGCCUUACACAUGCAAGUCGAACGGCAGCACGGGAGCUUGCUCCUGGUGGCGAGUGGCGAACGGGUGAGUAAUGCAUCGGAACGUAUCCUGGAGUGGGGGAUAACGUAGCGAAAGUUACGCUAAUACCGCAUAUUCUGUGAGCAGGAAAGCGGGGGACCUUCGGGCCUCGCGCUCUUGGAGCGGCCGAUGUCGGAUUAGCUAGGUUGGUUGAGGUAAAGGCUCACCAAGGCGACGAUCCGUAGCAGGUCUGAGAGGAUGAUCUGCCACACUGGAACUGAGACACGGUCCAGACUCCUACGGGAGGCAGCAGUGGGAAUUUUGGACAAUGGGGCAACCCUGAUCCAGCCAUGCCGCGUGAGUGAAGAAGGCC